GCGACAUAACGGACAAAAACAAGUGAAUAAAUUACUCACCGCUUCACACACUGCUGCUGAAGAGUCUCCCGGUUCCAGCUGACACAACAACAACAACAACAACAACAACAGCGCGCGCGCGGGCGCACACACACACACAAAAUUCAUUUCCACUAGAGGGAGACAAACGAACAGUGCAUCAUGCUACAGCUUCACUCCUGAUUGACUCUAACUGGAUCCUAAAGCUGAGAGGUUUUUCUUUGGUGCAGUUUUGCUAAAACCAUGGUGUUAAACGGCUGUCUCUGGCUCCGAGCCACACGACUGGGAUCAUGUUCACCAGUGCGUCACUGUCAGAUCCUAUUAGACGUGUUUCGGGGCCAUGCUGGCAGAUAGGGUGGUCGACAGACAGGCAGUGAGUCAGCACUAUCUGCAGGGUGGGGGAGGGGCACCAGGGCUUUCCAGACCUGCACUGGGUCAGCUAAAGUGAGCAAUAUAUUAGCACUGUUCAUCAUAACAACCAUUAUUUUUAUAUUAUUUUAUUUUUAUUUGGAAUCUUUAGAUGCUUUUCAACAAGUUUUAAAUUCUGGACAUGUUCAAAAAUCAAACGUCAAAGAUGGGCUGAAAUCUCUUUCCAAAUCCGACGUAUUUCUAGCUUGAAAUGUUCUUGUUCUAUUGGCAGAUCUUUGUGUUCAUUUUUAGAAUUUGUUUGGAAGAAGAAACAAAACGAUCUGCCAAUAGAAUAAAACAUUUCAAGCUUGAAAUGAGUAAAGAUGUUUUUAAAAAUAGGUUGAAGAAUUAUAUAUGUGGUUUAUUGUAAUCUAAUCAUAUAUCAUUCCAGAUAAAUGUGUCUUUGCCACUGUGGAUUAGCAUAAUCAAAUGGAUUUAUUGUCUGGCUUGAACACAUAUGAUACAGUGAGUAGGAUCUUCUUUUUUUUGGUGAAGAUCACGCCUGGUCUCACAACAUAACACAUCUAAUAAGGAAGUCCCAGCCGCAUCUGUACUUCCUGAGAAGGCUGAAGUAACUUGACAUGGCAGCAGAAAUUCUUAGCAACUUCUGCAGCAGUGCCAAUGAGAGCAUUUUCACCAGCAACACUCUUCAGAGAGGCAUUAGAACUGCUCAUACCACCUCAGGAGCAGUCUACACGUCACUGGAGGACAAUUAGCACACCAGGGUCCAGAGGAGAGCCCACAAUAUCAUCAUGGACUGAACCCAUCCCCAACACAGCCUGUUUACACUCCGACCAUCAGGACGACGCUACAGGAGCAUGAACAGUUUCUAUCCACGGACCAUCUCGCUUUUCCACCUCACAUUAGUACUUGUAGUAAGUUUCACAGAUCACACUCGACCUGUACACCCCAGAGUGCAAUUUCCAAGAGUUUGAGUGUAUUUUCAGUGUAGUGUGUACUGUGAUUGACAAUAAACUCUUAGAUGUUUGUUUUCUCCUGAAA
Molecule: long non-coding RNA, 1428 nt
Organism: Ictalurus punctatus (channel catfish)
Lineage: Eukaryota; Metazoa; Chordata; Actinopteri; Siluriformes; Ictaluridae
Exons: 2
Source: RefSeq, a predicted model, not a curated record